Molecule: long non-coding RNA, 458 nt
Organism: Lolium perenne
Lineage: Eukaryota; Viridiplantae; Streptophyta; Magnoliopsida; Poales; Poaceae
Source: RefSeq, a predicted model, not a curated record
CCACCUCCAUAGUCAAAUGGGUCUGCAACCUUCCGGGGUAGGGCUUCUGCUAACAUUGGAUUGCCAUAUUCAUCCUUGGUUAAUGCUUUACCCAUGCAAAUAAGAGUAAAUCGUUGUUAAUAAAGCAUGAGACCAAUGAGGAUGGACAGCCUUUAGCAAUGCUACGACGCCUGCGACAUGUGGGGCUGACAUGGACGUCCCUGAGUUGAAUACAUAUGCAUCUCCUUUGGCCGCUAAGAUGUUGACUCCAGGUGCGGCUAUGUCAGGCUGUUAAAGUAGUUACAACAGGGGUUCAGAUAAUUUGACUGUAUGGAAGUAGUGCUAAUUUAUCAGUCAAAAGCAACAUCCCUAUUUCCGAUAGAAAUCUUAAUAUCACCUAACCUCAUGUUUGUUCCAACAUUGUUUUAUAAUUAUAAAUUAUAAUAUAGAUUGCAGUGGAAGCCAACAUGAUGCGCUCA